GUGGGGAAUAUUGGACAAUGGGCGAAAGCCUGAUCCAGCCAUGCCGCGUGUGUGAAGAAGGUCUUCGGAUUGUAAAGCACUUUAAGUUGGGAGGAAGGGCAGUAAGUUAAUACCUUGCUGUUUUGACGUUACCGACAGAAUAAGCACCGGCUAACUUCGUGCCAGCAGCCGCGGUAAUACGAAGGGUGCAAGCGUUAAUCGGAAUUACUGGGCGUAAAGCGCGCGUAGGUGGUUUUGUAAGUUGGAGGUGAAAUCCCCGGGCUCAACCUGGGAACUGCCUCCAAAACUGCAUGACUAGAGUACGGUAGAGGGUAGUGGAAUUUCCUGUGUAGCGGUGAAAUGCGUAGAGAUAGGAAGGAACACCAGUGGCGAAGGCGACUACCUGGACUGAUACUGACACUGAGGUGCGAAAGCGUGGGGAGCAAACAGGAUUAGAAACCCGUGUAGUCC
RNAcentral lists this ribosomal RNA (450 nucleotides) under uncultured bacterium. RNAcentral describes it as "partial 16S ribosomal RNA". It matches the Rfam family "Bacterial small subunit ribosomal RNA", at positions 354 to 796 of the family's 1533-position model. The record is from RNAcentral.